UAAUACGUAGGGGGCAAGCGUUGUCCGGAUUUAUUGGGCGUAAAGAGCGUGUAGGCGGCCAGGUAGGUCCGUUGUGAAACCUCGAGGCUCAACCUCGAGACGUCGAUGGAAACCAUCUGGCUAGAGUCCGGAAGAGGAGAGUGGAAUUCCUGGUGUAGCGGUGAAAUGCGCAGAUAUCAGGAAGAACACCCGUGGCGAAGGCGGCUCUCUGGGACGGUACUGACGCUGAGACGCGAAAGCGUGGGGAGCGAACAGGA
Molecule: ribosomal RNA, 257 nt
Filed under: uncultured prokaryote
Description: partial 16S ribosomal RNA
Rfam family: Bacterial small subunit ribosomal RNA
Source: RNAcentral